This 200-nucleotide ribosomal RNA is filed under the name uncultured bacterium. RNAcentral describes it as "partial 16S ribosomal RNA". It matches the Rfam family "Bacterial small subunit ribosomal RNA", at positions 28 to 228 of the family's 1533-position model. The record is from RNAcentral.
GACGAACGCUGGCGGCGUGCUUAACACAUGCAAGUCGAACGAUGAAGCAGAGCUUGCUCUGUGGAUUAGUGGCGAACGGGUGAGUAACACGUGAGUAACCUGCCCUGGACUCUGGGAUAACCCCGAGAAAUCGGAGCUAAUACCGGAUAGGACCCGGAACCGCAUGGUUUUGGGUGGAAAGUUUUUUCGGUCUGGGAUGG